RNAcentral lists this long non-coding RNA (1613 nucleotides) under Numida meleagris (helmeted guineafowl). Its description in RNAcentral is "lncRNA (ENSNMEG00000001090.1)". Lineage: Eukaryota; Metazoa; Chordata; Aves; Galliformes; Numididae. The record is from RNAcentral.
UGUGGGGGGGAGGACGCUGCUGCUCCCUUUCAUCGCACGGCGUCAGCCCCACGGAAUCUCUGAGUAAGGUUCUGCUCCGAGCAGGGCGGCUCCUGGCCUCGCUCCAGCUGCUCCUCCUGCACAGCACAGUGCAACACAGCACAGCACAACAGUGCACAGCACAACACAGCACAGCACAACACAGCACAACAGAGCACAGCUCAACCUGGCAACGGUGCGCGCCACGCUGGGCAUUGCUCCAAGCGUUGCUCUGUGCUGGGCAUUGCUCCAAGCUUGGCUCCGUGCUGGGCAUUGCUCCAAGCUUGGCUCCGUGCUGGGCAUUGCUCCAAGCAUUGCUCCGUGCUGGGCAUUGCUCCAAGCGUUGCUCUCUGCUGGGCAUUGCUCCAAGCAUUGCUCUGUGCUGGGCAUUGCUCCAAGCAUUGCCCUGUGCUGGGCAUUGCUCCAUACCAUGCAUUGCUCUGUGCUCCAAGCAUUACUCUGUACCAUGCAUGCAUUGCUCUGUGCUGGGCAUUGGUCUGCACCAUGCAUGCAUUGCUCUGUGCUGGGCAUUGCUCUGCACCAUGCAUGCAUUGCUCUGUGCUGGGCAUUGCUCUGCACCAUGCAUGCAUUGCUCUGUGCUGGGCAUUGCUCCGUACCAUGCAUUGCUCUGUACCAUGCAUGCAUUGCUCUGUGCCAUGCAUGCAUUGCUCCACGCUGGGCAUUGCUCUGCACCAUGCAUUGCUCUGUGCUGGGCAUUGCUCUGUACCAUGUGUUGCUCUGUGCUGGGCAUUGCUCUGCACCAUGCAUUGCUCUGUGCUGGGCAUUGCUCUGCACCAUGCAUUGCUCUGUGCUGGGCAUUGCUCUGCACCAUGCAUGCAUUGCUCUGUGCUGGGCAUUGCUCUGCACCAUGCAUGCAUUGCUCUGUGCCGGGCAUUGCUCUGUGCCGGGCAUUGCACCGUGCAUUGCUCUGGGCAUUGCUGUGCACAUUGCAUUGCUCCAGACAUUGCUCUGCGCCUUGCUCCAUGCAUUGCUGUGCACAUUGCAUUGCUCCAGACAUUGCUCUGCACCGUGCAUUACUGUGCACACUGCUCCAGGCAUUGCUCCAUGCACUGCCCUGUGCAUUGCUCAGUGCAUUGCUCUGGGCAUUGCUCUGUACCGUGCAUUGCUCUGGGCAUUGCUGUGCACAUUGCUCCAGGCAUUGCUGUGCACAUUGCACUGCUCCAUGCACUGCUCCGUGCAUUGCUCUGCACCGUGCAUUACUCUGGGCAUUGCCGUGCACAUUGCAUUGCUCAGGGCAUUGCUCUGUGCCUUGCUCUGUGCAUUACUCCAUGCAUUGCUCUGUGCAUUGCUCUGCACCGUGCAUUACUGUGCACACUGCUCCAGGCAUUGCUCCAUGCACUGCUCUGUGCACUGCUCAGUGCAUUGCUCUACACCGUGCAUUACUCUGGGCAUUGCUGUGCACAUUGCAUUGCUCCAGGCAUUGCUCCAGACAUUGCUCUGCAUAUUGCUCAGGGCAUUGCUCUGCACCUUGCUCCAUGCAUUGCUCUGGGCAUUGCUGAGCACAUUGCUCCGUGCAUUGCUGAGCACAUUGCUCCGUGCAUUGCUGAGCACAUUGCUCCGUGCAUGGCUCCGUG